UAGGGAAUAUUGGACAAUGGGGGCAACCCUGAUCCAGCCAUGCCGCGUGAGUGAAGAAGGCCCUCGGGUUGUAAGCUCUUUUGUCCAGAAAGAAAAGCUUCGGGUUAAUACCCCGGGGUUCUGACGGUACCGGAAGAAUAAGCACCGGCUAACUUCGUGCCAGCAGCCGCGGUAAUACGAAGGGUGCAAGCGUUACUCGGAAUUACUGGGCGUAAAGCGUGCGUAGGUGGUUGUUUAAGUCUGAUGUGAAAGCCCUGGGCUCAACCUGGGAAUGGCAUUGGAAACUGGGCAGCUAGAGUGCGGUAGAGGGUAGUGGAAUUCCCGGUGUAGCAGUGAAAUGCGUAGAGAUCGGGAGGAACAUCUGUGGCGAAGGCGACUGCCUGGACCAGCACUGACACUGAGGCACGAAAGCGUGGGG
RNAcentral lists this ribosomal RNA (418 nucleotides) under uncultured bacterium. RNAcentral describes it as "bacterial SSU rRNA". It matches the Rfam family "Bacterial small subunit ribosomal RNA", at positions 355 to 766 of the family's 1533-position model. The record is from RNAcentral.